This 254-nucleotide ribosomal RNA is filed under the name uncultured bacterium. Its description in RNAcentral is "partial 16S ribosomal RNA". It matches the Rfam family "Bacterial small subunit ribosomal RNA", at positions 524 to 776 of the family's 1533-position model. The record is from RNAcentral.
CACGUAGGGUGCGAGCGUUGUCCGGAAUUAUUGGGCGUAAAGAGCUCGUAGGCGGUGUGUCACGUCGGCCGUGAAAACCUGCAGCUUAACUGUGGGCGUGCGGUCGAUACGGGCAUCACUGGAGUUCGGCAGGGGAGACUGGAAUUCCUGGUGUAGCGGUGAAAUGCGCAGAUAUCAGGAGGAACACCAGUGGCGAAGGCGGCACUCUGGGCCGGUACUGACGCUGAGGAGCGAAAGCGUGGGGAGCGAACAGG